This 603-nucleotide ribosomal RNA is filed under the name Allenoconcha varmani. RNAcentral's name for it is "partial large subunit ribosomal RNA". The stretch from base 203 to 401 matches the Rfam family "Bacterial large subunit ribosomal RNA", at positions 1700 to 2029 of the family's 2925-position model. The record is from RNAcentral. Lineage: Eukaryota; Metazoa; Mollusca; Gastropoda; Stylommatophora; Microcystidae.
AUUUAGUACAGGCUUAAAGCUGAUGAGCCCCCUGUUAAGGGGGGGCUCAUAAAGUAUAUAUAAAUAUAUAUUUUAUUUAGGAUAAUUCUAUAAUAAUUUACUUGUGUUUAUAAUUAUUAAUAUAUUAUUCUUGGUUUUUUUUUCUAGAAAAUUUUUAAUUUCUUAAAUUUUUCAUAAUGUUAAAAUAAGUAUUAUUAAUAAUUUAAAUAUAGGAACUCGGCAAAUCAUUACUCAACUGUUUAUCAAAAACAUAGUUUUAUGAAAUAAUAUAAAAUGAAUUCUGCCCAAUGAUAAUUUUAAUGGCCGCAGUACUUUAACUGUGCUAAGGUAGCAUAAUAAUUUGGCUUUUAAUUAAGGUCUGGUAUGAAAGGAUUUUAUGGGUAAUAACUGUCUUUAUUUAAUUUUUAAAAAUUUACUUAAAAGGUGAAAAUUCCUUUAAUUUUAAAAUAGACGAGAAGACCCUAGGAGUUUUUGUUUUGUUGGGGCGACAUUUUAGUAAAUAACCUAAGAAAAAAAUUUAACGGUUAUAUCAAUUAUAAAUAAACUACCCUAGGGAUAACAGCAUAAUAAUAUUUUUGUUUGUGACCUCGAUGUUGGACUAGG